GUUUGAUCAUGGCUCAGGAUGAACGCUGGCGGCGUGCCUAAUACAUGCAAGUCGAACGAGUUCUCGUUGAUGAUCGGUGCUUGCACCGAGAUUCAACAUGGAACGAGUGGCGGACGGGUGAGUAACACGUGGGUAACCUGCCCUUAAGUGGGGGAUAACAUUUGGAAACAGAUGCUAAUACCGCAUAGAUCCAAGAACCGCAUGGUUCUUGGCUGAAAGAUGGCGUAAGCUAUCGCUUUUGGAUGGACCCGCGGCGUAUUAGCUAGUUGGUGAGGUAAUGGCUCACCAAGGCGAUGAUACGUAGCCGAACUGAGAGGUUGAUCGGCCACAUUGGGACUGAGACACGGCCCAAACUCCUACGGGAGGCAGCAGUAGGGAAUCUUCCACAAUGGACGCAAGUCUGAUGGAGCAACGCCGCGUGAGUGAAGAAGGCUUUCGGGUCGUAAAACUCUGUUGUUGGAGAAGAAUGGUCGGCAGAGUAACUGUUGUCGGCGUGACGGUAUCCAACCAGAAAGCCACGGCUAACUACGUGCCAGCAGCCGCGGUAAUACGUAGGUGGCAAGCGUUAUCCGGAUUUAUUGGGCGUAAAGCGAGCGCAGGCGGUUUUUUAAGUCUGAUGUGAAAGCCCUCGGCUUAACCGAGGAAGCGCAUCGGAAACUGGGAAACUUGAGUGCAGAAGAGGACAGUGGAACUCCAUGUGUAGCGGUGAAAUGCGUAGAUAUAUGGAAGAACACCAGUGGCGAAGGCGGCUGUCUGGUCUGUAACUGACGCUGAGGCUCGAAAGGCAUGACCCCCC
Molecule: ribosomal RNA, 796 nt
Filed under: Lactobacillus sp.
Lineage: Bacteria; Bacillati; Bacillota; Bacilli; Lactobacillales; Lactobacillaceae
Description: bacterial SSU rRNA
Rfam family: Bacterial small subunit ribosomal RNA
Source: RNAcentral